GAUGAACGCUAGCGGCAGGCCUAAUACAUGCAAGUCGGACGGGAUUCAGGAGCUUGCUUCUGAUGAGAGUGGCGCACGGGUGCGUAACACGUAUGUAACCUACCUUUAUCAGGGGGAUAGCCUCUCGAAAGAGAGAUUAAGCCCGCAUAAAAUCACAGCACAGCAUUGUGUAAUGAUCAAAUAUUUAUAGGAUAAAGAUGGGCAUGCGGAACAUUAGCUAGAUGGCGGGGUAACGGCCCACCAUGGCGACGAUGUUUAGGGGAUCUGAGAGGAUGGCCCCCCACACUGGUACUGAGACACGGACCAGACUCCUACGGGAGGCAGCAGUAAGGAAUAUUGGUCAAUGGGCGGAAGCCUGAACCAGCCAUGCCGCGUGCAGGAAGACGGCCCUACGGGUUGUAAACUGCUUUUAUACGGGAAUAAACCCAGAUACGUGUAUCUGGCUGAAUGUACUGUAAGAAUAAGGAUCGGCUAGCUCCGUG
Molecule: ribosomal RNA, 482 nt
Filed under: uncultured bacterium
Lineage: Bacteria
Description: partial 16S ribosomal RNA
Rfam family: Bacterial small subunit ribosomal RNA
Source: RNAcentral